GGGGGCGAAAGGUUUCGACUCUUGUAGGCUUGGAGAGAGCAGCAUGUCGAGGUUGUCAGGAGGCCUCGAAAAACACCUGGCACAAAUAAAACGCCAACUACGAUGCAGUAGCUGAAGCUGAAGGCAUUCUUGUCUCCAGUGAGGCGGUAGCUGUCGCCUAAUAAGGCGACCCGUCUACAGGUCUUGCCUGUGUGACUUGAUAGACGCCGUUAACAGGCUGGUCCUUUGAUUUACGUUCUUUUGAAAAGGGCGAGGAGCAUAAAAAGAACUAUACCCGGUGUUAUCCUGUCUGUCGGAGCGCAUCAGGUGAACUUAAAAGACUGACUAAACAUGUAGAUACUCUUUCUGGGAUACCUGAGGACGCGGAUUCGAUUUCCGCCGCCUCCACCA
Molecule: transfer-messenger RNA, 390 nt
Filed under: Candidatus Omnitrophota
Lineage: Bacteria; Pseudomonadati
Also listed under: 1 other name
Description: JAHIEN01 sp018814825 Standard tmRNA
Rfam family: transfer-messenger RNA
About the family: Bacterial tmRNA, also known as 10Sa RNA or SsrA, is named for its dual tRNA and mRNA-like properties. Its role is to liberate the mRNA from a stalled ribosome.
Source: RNAcentral